RNAcentral lists this unclassified non-coding RNA (335 nucleotides) under fungal sp. RNAcentral's name for it is "partial internal transcribed spacer region". The stretch from base 1 to 46 matches the Rfam family "Eukaryotic small subunit ribosomal RNA", at positions 1786 to 1831 of the family's 1831-position model. The record is from RNAcentral. Lineage: Eukaryota; Fungi.
AAGUCGUAACAAGGUUUCCGUAGGUGAACCUGCGGAAGGAUCAUUAAGGUUUUGUGUUUGAGGAUGGCGCUCGUGUUGCUCCUGUAUUGGGUCGAGCGUUUACAACUAUCCACUCCUGGUGCCCCCAAGCAACCAUCAAUCUGAAAGUGUUUGGUGAAUUGUGCAAGGGCAGCGCAGUCAACGAUCGGUGGUCCACACGGCCAUCGACCGGGGGUCGUUACCUCCCUGUGGGGCCAAGUUCAUUCAGGUUGAACAUGAUGCAUGUCUACCGCGCCCGACGAAAGUCCGACGCACCCCUAACCGAACAACUGUUAACAAUGGAUAUCUUGGUUCUC